GAUGAACGCUGGCGGCGUGCCUAAUACAUGCAAGUCGAACGAGUUCUCGUUGAUGAUCGGUGCUUGCACCGAGAUUCAACAUGGAACGAGUGGCGGACGGGUGAGUAACACGUGGGUAACCUGCCCUUAAGUGGGGGAUAACAUUUGGAAACAGGUGCUAAUACCGCAUAGAUCCAAGAACCGCAUGGUUCUUGGCUGAAAGAUGGCGUAAGCUAUCGCUUUUGGAUGGACCCGCGGCGUAUUAGCUAGUUGGUGAGGUAAUGGCUCACCAAGGCGAUGAUACGUAGCCGAACUGAGAGGUUGAUCGGCCACAUUGGGACUGAGACACGGCCCAAACUCCUACGGGAGGCAGCAGUAGGGAAUCUUCCACAAUGGACGCAAGUCUGAUGGAGCAACGCCGCGUGAGUGAAGAAGGCUUUCGGGUCGUAAAACUCUGUUGUUGGAGAAGAAUGGUCGGCAGAGUAACUGUUGUCGGCGUGACGGUAUCCAACCAGAAAGCCACGGCUAACUACGUGCCAGCAGCCGCGGUAAUACGUAGGUGGCAAGCGUUAUCCGGAUUUAUUGGGCGUAAAGCGAGCGCAGGCGGUUUUUUAAGUCUGAUGUGAAAGCCCUCGGCUUAACCGAGGAAGCGCAUCGGAAACCGGGAAACUUGAGUGCAGAAGAGGACAGUGGAACUCCAUGUGUAGCGGUGAAAUGCGUAGAUAUAUGGAAGAACACCAGUGGCGAAGGCGGCUGUCUGGUCUGUAACUGACGCUGAGGCUCGAAAGCAUGGGUAGCGAACAGGAUUAGAUACCCUGGUAGUCCAUGCCGUAAACGAUGAAUGCUAGGUGUUGGAGGGUUUCCGCCCUUCAGUGCCGCAGCUAACGCAUUAAGCAUUCCGCUUGGGGAGUACGACCGCAAGGUUGAAACUCAAAGGAAUUGACGGGGGCCCGCACAAGCGGUGGAGCAUGUGGUUUAAUUCGAAGCAACGCGAAGAACCUUACCAGGUCUUGACAUCUUUUGAUCACCUGAGAGAUCAGGUUUCCCCUUCGGGGGCAAAAUGACAGGUGGUGCAUGGUUGUCGUCAGCUCGUGUCGUGAGAUGUUGGGUUAAGUCCCGCAACGAGCGCAACCCUUAUGACUAGUUGCCAGCAUUUAGUUGGGCACUCUAGUAAGACUGCCGGUGACAAACCGGAGGAAGGUGGGGAUGACGUCAAAUCAUCAUGCCCCUUAUGACCUGGGCUACACACGUGCUACAAUGGAUGGUACAACGAGUUGCGAGACCGCGAGGUCAAGCUAAUCUCUUAAAGCCAUUCUCAGUUCGGACUGUAGGCUGCAACUCGCCUACACGAAGUCGGAAUCGCUAGUAAUCGCGGAUCAGCACGCCGCGGUGAAUACGUUCCCGGGCCUUGUACACACCGCCCGUCACACCAUGAGAGUUUGUAACACCCGAAGCCGGUGGCGUAACCCUUUUAGGGAGCGAGCCGUCUAAGGUGGGACAAAUGAUUAGGGUGAAG
Molecule: ribosomal RNA, 1495 nt
Filed under: Lacticaseibacillus paracasei
Lineage: Bacteria; Bacillati; Bacillota; Bacilli; Lactobacillales; Lactobacillaceae
Description: bacterial SSU rRNA
Rfam family: Bacterial small subunit ribosomal RNA
Source: RNAcentral